This is a long non-coding RNA of Achroia grisella, 264 nucleotides long. RefSeq lists it as uncharacterized. The transcript is spliced from 3 exons. NCBI's taxonomy places the organism in Eukaryota, Metazoa, Arthropoda, Insecta, Lepidoptera, Pyralidae. The record is from RefSeq and is a predicted model, not a curated record.
UAAAAAGACACGUUCAAAUGUAUUAAAAAUUAGUGAGAGAUUGUUGUAUACACCAUGAAGUAUAUAUACGCAAUUGCAUUCAUAUUCGCAAUGUUGGCGAUGGUGACGCUGACUGACGCUAGAGUGGCCUGUAUUGCCCUGUAUGACCCUGUUUGUGGUAUUAAUGGGGUAACAUACAGCAAUAUGUGUUGGUUAAACGCAGCUGGUGUGCCGUUGGCUUACAAAGGAGAAUGCUGUCAUUGAUUUGAAAUAAAUAUGUGAAGA